AGAUUGAACGCUGGCGGCAUGCCUUACACAUGCAAGUCGAACGGUAGAGUAGCAAUACUUGAGAGUGGCGAACGGGUGAGUAAGUAUAUCGGAACGUGCCCAGUCGUGGGGGAUAACGUAGAGAAAGUUUACGCUAAUAACCGCAUACGAUCUAAGGAUGAAAGCGGGGGAACUCGGCAAGAGCCUCGCGCGAUUGGAGCGACUGAUAGUCAGAUUAGGUUGUUGGUGAGGUAAAAGCUCACCAAGCCGACGAAUCUGUAGCUGGUUUGAGAGAACGACCAGCCACACUGGGACUGAGACACGGCCCAGACUCCUACGGGAGGCAGCAGGUGGGAAUUUUGGGACAAAUGGGCGAAAGCCUGAUCCAGCAAUGCCGCGUGCAGGAAGAAGGACCUUCGGUUGUAAACGUAGCUUUGUUACGGUAACGAAAACGGUACGUAGUCUUUAAUAACUAAGACGGAACGUAA
Molecule: ribosomal RNA, 467 nt
Filed under: uncultured soil bacterium
Lineage: Bacteria
Description: bacterial SSU rRNA
Rfam family: Bacterial small subunit ribosomal RNA
Source: RNAcentral